AGCGAACUUGGCAGAGAUGCCUUGGUGCCUUCGGGAACGCUGAGACAGGUGCUGCAUGGCUGUCGUCAGCUCGUGUUGUGAAAUGUUGGGUUAAGUCCCGNAACGAGCGCAACCCUUAUCCUUUGUUGCCAGCGAUUCGGUCGGGAACUCAAAGGAGACUGCCGGUGAUAAACCGGGAGGAAGGUGGGGAUGACGUCAAGUCAUCAUGGCCCUUACGAGUAGGGCUACACACGUGCUACAAUGGCGCAUACAAAGAGAAGCGACCUCGCGAGAGCAAGCGGACCUCAUAAAGUGCGUCGUAGUCCGGAUCGGAGUCUGCAACUCGACUCCGUGAAGUCGGAAUCGCUAGUAAUCGUGGAUCAGAAUGCCACGGUGAAUACGUUCCCGGGCCUUGUACACACCGCCCGUCACACCAUGGGAGUGGGUUGCAAAAGAAGUAGGUAGCUUAACCUUCGGGAGGGCGCUUACCACUUUGUGAUUCAUGACUGGGGUGAAGUCGUAACAAGGUAAGCGUAGCGAG
Molecule: ribosomal RNA, 520 nt
Filed under: uncultured bacterium
Lineage: Bacteria
Description: bacterial SSU rRNA
Rfam family: Bacterial small subunit ribosomal RNA
Source: RNAcentral